RNAcentral lists this ribosomal RNA (253 nucleotides) under uncultured bacterium. RNAcentral describes it as "partial 16S ribosomal RNA". It matches the Rfam family "Bacterial small subunit ribosomal RNA", at positions 524 to 776 of the family's 1533-position model. The record is from RNAcentral.
UACAGAGGUCUCAAGCGUUGUUCGGAUUCAUUGGGCGUAAAGGGUGUGUAGGUGGCGCCGUAAGUCGGGUGUGAAAUUUCGGAGCUUAACUCCGAAACUGCAUUCGAUACUGCGGUGCUUGAGGACUGGAGAGGAGACUGGAAUUCAUGGUGUAGCAGUGAAAUGCGUAGAGAUCAUGAGGAACACCCGUGGCGAAGGCGGCUCUCUGGGACGGUACUGACGCUGAGACGCGAAAGCGUGGGGAGCGAACAGG